GAUAAAAUGACUGAAAAAGUGAUAAAUUGUAAAUUUAUUUAUGGAGAAAUCCUUUUAUCA
RNAcentral lists this transfer RNA (60 nucleotides) under Macrocheles nataliae. RNAcentral's name for it is "tRNA-Tyr". Lineage: Eukaryota; Metazoa; Arthropoda; Arachnida; Mesostigmata; Macrochelidae. The record is from RNAcentral.